Molecule: ribosomal RNA, 1018 nt
Filed under: uncultured bacterium
Lineage: Bacteria
Description: bacterial SSU rRNA
Rfam family: Bacterial small subunit ribosomal RNA
Source: RNAcentral
AGGAAUAUUGGUCAAUGGGCGUUAGCCUGAACCAGCCAAGUAGCGUGAAGGAUGAAGGCUCUAUGGGUCGUAAACUUCUUUUAUAUAAGAAUAAAGUGCAGUAUGUAUACUGUUUUGUAUGUAUUAUAUGAAUAAGGAUCGGCUAACUCCGUGCCAGCAGCCGCGGUAAUACGGAGGAUCCGAGCGUUAUCCGGAUUUAUUGGGUUUAAAGGGAGCGUAGGUGGACUGGUAAGUCAGUUGUGAAAGUUUGCGGCUCAACCGUAAAAUUGCAGUUGAUACUGUCAGUCUUGAGUACAGUAGAGGUGGGCGGAAUUCGUGGUGUAGCGGUGAAAUGCUUAGAUAUCACGAAGAACUCCGAUUGCGAAGGCAGCUCACUGGACUGCAACUGACACUGAUGCUCGAAAGUGUGGGUAUCAAACAGGAUUAGAUACCCUGGUAGUCCACACAGUAAACGAUGAAUACUCGCUGUUUGCGAUAUACAGUAAGCGGCCAAGCGAAAGCAUUAAGUAUUCCACCUGGGGAGUACGCCGGCAACGGUGAAACUCAAAGGAAUUGACGGGGGCCCGCACAAGCGGAGGAACAUGUGGUUUAAUUCGAUGAUACGCGAGGAACCUUACCCGGGCUUAAAUUGCAGUGGAAUGAUGUGGAAACAUGUCAGUGAGCAAUCACCGCUGUGAAGGUGCUGCAUGGUUGUCGUCAGCUCGUGCCGUGAGGUGUCGGCUUAAGUGCCAUAACGAGCGCAACCCUUAUCUUUAGUUACUAACAGGUUAUGCUGAGGACUCUAGAGAGACUGCCGUCGUAAGAUGUGAGGAAGGUGGGGAUGACGUCAAAUCAGCACGGCCCUUACGUCCGGGGCUACACACGUGUUACAAUGGGGGGUACAGAAGGCAGCUAGCGGGUGACCGUAUGCUAAUCCCAAAAUCCUCUCUCAGUUCGGAUCGAAGUCUGCAACCCGACUUCGUGAAGCUGGAUUCGCUAGUAAUCGCGCAUCAGCCACGGCGCGGUGAAUACGUUCCCG